This 27-nucleotide non-coding RNA is filed under the name Rattus norvegicus (Norway rat). Lineage: Eukaryota; Metazoa; Chordata; Mammalia; Rodentia; Muridae. The record is from RNAcentral.
UGACAUAGUUUGUUAAAAAGCCUUUUA